RNAcentral lists this ribosomal RNA (484 nucleotides) under uncultured bacterium. RNAcentral describes it as "bacterial SSU rRNA". It matches the Rfam family "Bacterial small subunit ribosomal RNA", at positions 501 to 987 of the family's 1533-position model. The record is from RNAcentral.
CUACGUGCCAGCAGCCGCGGUAAUACGUAGGUCCCGAGCGUUGUCCGGAUUUAUUGGGCGUAAAGCGAGCGCAGGCGGUUAGAUAAGUCUGAAGUUAAAGGCUGUGGCUUAACCAUAGUACGCUUUGGAAACUGUUUAACUUGAGUGCAAGAGGGGAGAGUGGAAUUCCAUGUGUAGCGGUGAAAUGCGUAGAUAUAUGGAGGAACACCGGUGGCGAAAGCGGCUCUCUGGCUUGUAACUGACGCUGAGGCUCGAAAGCGUGGGGAGCAAACAGGAUUAGAUACCCUGGUAGUCCACGCCCUAAACGAUGUCAACUAGGCGUCGGGUCGUUAAGAUUCGGUGCCGCAGCUAACGCAUUAAGUUGACCGCCUGGGGAGUACGGCCGCAAGGUUGAAACUCAAAGAAAUUGACGGGGACCCGCACAAGCGGUGGAGCAUGUGGUUUAAUUCGAUGCAACGCGAAGAACCUUACCUGGUCUUGACAU